AACGAACGCUGGCGGCAGGCCUAACACAUGCAAGUCGAGCGGACAUCUUCGGAUGUUAGCGGCGGACGGGUGAGUAACGCGUGUGAACGUGCCCUUUGCUUCGGAAUAGCCUCGGGAAACUGGGAGUAAUACCGGAUGUACCCUUUGGGGGAAAGAUUUAUCGGCAAAGGAUCGGCCCGCGUUGGAUUAGGUAGUUGGUGGGGUAAUGGCCUACCAAGCCGACGAUCCAUAGCUGGUUUGAGAGGAUGAUCAGCCACACUGGGACUGAGACACGGCCCAGACUCCUACGGGAGGCAGCAGUGGGGAAUCUUAGACAAUGGGGGAAACCCUGAUCUAGCCAUGCCGCGUGAGCGAUGAAGGCCUUAGGGUUGUAAAGCUCUUUCACCGGGGAAGAUAAUGACGGUACCCGGAGAAGAAGCCCCGGCUAACUCCGUG
RNAcentral lists this ribosomal RNA (435 nucleotides) under uncultured bacterium. Its description in RNAcentral is "partial 16S ribosomal RNA". It matches the Rfam family "Bacterial small subunit ribosomal RNA", at positions 29 to 507 of the family's 1533-position model. The record is from RNAcentral.